This 101-nucleotide non-coding RNA is filed under the name uncultured Rubripirellula sp. Its description in RNAcentral is "Cyclic di-GMP-I riboswitch". It matches the Rfam family "c-di-GMP-I riboswitch aptamer". From Rfam's summary of the family: GEMM was predicted in a large-scale screen for bacterial structured RNA regulatory elements. Genes associated with GEMM are involved in a diverse array of functions, including chemotaxis regulation, signal transduction, secretion and chitin. The record is from RNAcentral. Lineage: Bacteria; Pseudomonadati; Planctomycetota; Planctomycetia; Pirellulales; Pirellulaceae.
AAAAGGCAAACCGUCUGUAAAGGCGGGGCGCAAAGCCACGGAUCCAACCUAUUCACAGUGCACGAAUGCAUUCUGAGUUUGCUGGACCGCCGGGUUGCCAA